GUCAAUGUGCAGUCUAAACAUGUGACAGAUGCAGAGAAAACUUCAAAGAUGCCAUUACAAAUGCCUGUGGAGAUAUUUAAGGAGCCAGAUGCUACUGUUUCAUGUCUUCCGCAGCUCUGAAUGUGUCCUGUGAUCACCUUCCAAAGAGGAGGUGUGGUUCGAUAUGAACAAAAAAGUAUUGAGUUGUCUUAUAAAGAUAAAUAUGAGAAACUUGGGGAGAACCAAAAAUAAAGAUCAGAAUAAUAUAGAGUCAUAAAAACAUAACUUAUGGAGCUUCAAAAUAAGAAGGUAUGUUCUUUUACUUGAAAAACAUUUUAUUGUAUUAGAGGAUGAUUAAA
This 338-nucleotide long non-coding RNA is filed under the name Papio anubis (olive baboon). RNAcentral describes it as "lncRNA (ENSPANG00000045348.1)". The record is from RNAcentral. Lineage: Eukaryota; Metazoa; Chordata; Mammalia; Primates; Cercopithecidae.